This 465-nucleotide ribosomal RNA is filed under the name uncultured bacterium. RNAcentral's name for it is "partial 16S ribosomal RNA". It matches the Rfam family "Bacterial small subunit ribosomal RNA", at positions 28 to 507 of the family's 1533-position model. The record is from RNAcentral.
GACGAACGCUGGCGGCGUGCUUAACACAUGCAAGUCGAACGGUAAGGCUCCAGCUUGCUGGGGUACACGAGUGGCGAAUGGGUGAGUAACACGUGGGUGACCUGCCCUGCACUUCGGGAUAAGCCUGGGAAACUGGGUCUAAUACCGGAUAGGACCGCACCGUGAGGGUGUGGUGGAAAGUUUUUUCGGUGUGGGCUGGGCCCGCGGCCUAUCAGCUUGUUGGUGGGGUAAUGGCCUACCAAGGCGGCGACGGGUAGCCGGCCUGAGAGGGUGGACGGCCACAUUGGGACUGAGACACGGCCCAGACUCCUACGGGAGGCAGCAGUGGGGAAUAUUGCACAAUGGGCGGAAGCCUGAUGCAGCGACGCCGCGUGGGGGAUGACGGCCUUCGGGUUGUAAACUCCUUUCACCAUCGACGAAGGGUUUCUGACGGUAGAUGGAGAAGAAGCACCGGCUAACUACGUG